RNAcentral lists this ribosomal RNA (302 nucleotides) under uncultured bacterium. Its description in RNAcentral is "partial 16S ribosomal RNA". It matches the Rfam family "Bacterial small subunit ribosomal RNA", at positions 508 to 807 of the family's 1533-position model. The record is from RNAcentral.
GCAGUAGCCGCGGUAAUACGAAGGGGGCUAGCGUUGCUCGGAAUUACUGGGCGUAAAGGGAGCGUAGGCGGACUGUUUAGUCAGAGGUGAAAGCCCAGGGCUCAACCUUGGAAUUGCCUUUGAUACUGGCAGUCUUGAGUACGGAAGAGGUAUGUGGAACUCCGAGUGUAGAGGUGAAAUUCGUAGAUAUUCGGAAGAACACCAGUGGCGAAGGCGACAUACUGGUCCGUUACUGACGCUGAGGCUCGAAAGCGUGGGGAGCAAACAGGAUUAGAUACCCCCGUAGUCCCUGUCUCUUAUAC